RNAcentral lists this ribosomal RNA (158 nucleotides) under Coprinopsis sp. TPN-2017. RNAcentral describes it as "5.8S ribosomal RNA". It matches the Rfam family "5.8S ribosomal RNA". From Rfam's summary of the family: 5.8S ribosomal RNA (5.8S rRNA) is a component of the large subunit of the eukaryotic ribosome. It is transcribed by RNA polymerase I as part of the 45S precursor that also contains 18S and 28S rRNA. Lineage: Eukaryota; Fungi; Basidiomycota; Agaricomycetes; Agaricales; Psathyrellaceae. The record is from RNAcentral.
CAAUACAACUUUCAGCAACGGAUCUCUUGGCUCUCGCAUCGAUGAAGAACGCAGCGAAAUGCGAUAAGUAAUGUGAAUUGCAGAAUUCAGUGAAUCAUCGAAUCUUUGAACGCACCUUGCGCUCUUUGGUAUUCCGAAGAGCAUGCCUGUUUGAGUGU